RNAcentral lists this ribosomal RNA (116 nucleotides) under Metabacillus litoralis. Lineage: Bacteria; Bacillati; Bacillota; Bacilli; Caryophanales; Bacillaceae. RNAcentral also lists the same sequence under 6 other names. The record is from RNAcentral.
UUUGGUGAUGAUGGCGAAGAGGUCACACCCGUUCCCAUGCCGAACACGGAAGUUAAGCUCUUCAGCGCCGAUGGUAGUUGGGGGUUUCCCCCUGUGAGAGUAGGACGUCGCCAAGU